CCUACGGGAGGCAGCAGUGGGGAAUAUUGGACAAUGGGCGCAAGCCUGAUCCAGCCAUGCCGCGUGAGUGAUGAAGGCCUUAGGGUUGUAAAGCUCUUUUGCCAGGGAAGAUAAUGACUGUACCUGGAGAAUAAGCCCCGGCUAACUUCGUGCCAGCAGCCGCGGUAAUACGAAGGGGGCUAGCGUUGUUCGGAAUCACUGGGCGUAAAGCGCACGUAGGCGGACUUUUAAGUCAGGGGUGAAAGCCUGAGGCUCAACCUCAGAACUGCCCUUGAUACUGGGAGUCUUGAGUAUGGUAGAGGUUGGUGGAACAGCAAGUGUAGAGGUGAAAUUCGUAGAUAUUUGCUAGAACACCAGUGGCGAAGGCGGCCAACUGGACCAUAACUGACGCUGAGGUGCGAAAGCGUGGGGAGCAAACAGGAUUAGAUACCCUGGUAGUCCACGCCGUAAACGAUGGAUGCUAGCCGUUAGCCAGCUUGCUGGGUAGUGGCGCAGGUAACCCUUUAAGCAUCCGCCGUGGGUAGGUACGGUCGCGAGAUAAACUACAAGAAGUAGACGCGNGAGACGNGCCGACGGACGACGACGAGGGAGUAGG
RNAcentral lists this ribosomal RNA (595 nucleotides) under uncultured bacterium. RNAcentral's name for it is "bacterial SSU rRNA". It matches the Rfam family "Bacterial small subunit ribosomal RNA", at positions 338 to 951 of the family's 1533-position model. The record is from RNAcentral.